RNAcentral lists this ribosomal RNA (895 nucleotides) under bacterium. Its description in RNAcentral is "bacterial SSU rRNA". It matches the Rfam family "Bacterial small subunit ribosomal RNA", at positions 41 to 933 of the family's 1533-position model. The record is from RNAcentral.
UCCAUGCGAGCUACACUGCAGUCGAGCGGUAGAGAGAGCUUGCUUCUCUUGAGAGCGGCGGACGGGUGAGUAAUGCCUAGGAAUCUGCCUGGUAGUGGGGGAUAACGUUCGGAAACGGACGCUAAUACCGCAUACGUCCUACGGGAGAAAGCAGGGGACCUUCGGGCCUUGCGCUAUCAGAUGAGCCUAGGUCGGAUUAGCUAGUUGGUGAGGUAAUGGCUCACCAAGGCGACGAUCCGUAACUGGUCUGAGAGGAUGAUCAGUCACACUGGAACUGAGACACGGUCCAGACUCCUACGGGAGGCAGCAGUGGGGAAUAUUGGACAAUGGGCGAAAGCCUGAUCCAGCCAUGCCGCGUGUGUGAAGAAGGUCUUCGGAUUGUAAAGCACUUUAAGUUGGGAGGAAGGGUUGUAGAUUAAUACUCUGCAAUUUUGACGUUACCGACAGAAUAAGCACCGGCUAACUCUGUGCCAGCAGCCGCGGUAAUACAGAGGGUGCAAGCGUUAAUCGGAAUUACUGGGCGUAAAGCGCGCGUAGGUGGUUUGUUAAGUUGGAUGUGAAAUCCCCGGGCUCAACCUGGGAACUGCAUUCAAAACUGACUGACUAGAGUAUGGUAGAGGGUGGUGGAAUUUCCUGUGUAGCGGUGAAAUGCGUAGAUAUAGGAAGGAACACCAGUGGCGAAGGCGACCACCUGGACUAAUACUGACACUGAGGUGCGAAAGCGUGGGGAGCAAACAGGAUUAGAUACCCUGGUAGGCCACGCCGUAAACGAUGUCAACUAGCCGUUGGAAGCCUUGAGCUUUUAGUGGCGCAGCUAACGCAUUAAGUUGACCGCCUGGCGAGUACGGCCGCAAGGUUAAAACUCAAAUGAAUUGACGGGGUCCGUACAAGCGCG